UGCAUCCCCCCAGCAAGAGGGCAGACGCCUCAACUUGUUGCAACUAUUCAGAUUUAACUCCCGUAGAGAUGGAAGGUUCCCCAACCAUUCAGGCAAUUCUUCUACCCCUAAAUUCUCUAAUAUUAACCAAUGAAGAGUUGUGAGAUGUUGAAUUGAUUCUGGUAACCACUCCCAAUUUUCCACCCCUUUUAAGAACAAACGAGUAAGUGAGUUGCAGCAUGGUUGCAAUAAGGCAUCCACAGUCUGUUUAAUGCCAACACUACUCUCCAUUGACCACUCCCAACUCACAUCUAUCACUAACGACUGUAAGCAGCCUAAACCCCAACUCUUGACACUAUCAGUACACAUGAAGAAUUUAGGAACACCAACAAUUCUCAAAUCUCUGAGACUCACUGCUUUAGCGAGGCAGUCAAUUACCAUCGGCAGAUUCUGUAGGUUGCUUAAUCCCCACAAUUCCAGAGACUCGAUUGUUGGCGCCCAUGACUCUAGCAUUUGACGUGGCAAAACCAUCAACCCUUGGCACCUUUCAAUCACGAGUUCGCGUAGGAUUCCUUGUGAUUGUCCUUCUCUGCCACUUGGAUUCCCUAUUGACUUCACAUUUCCACAAUCACAUAUACUCAACUCCACCAGAGAAUUGAGGGUGUCCAGUCCAUCUGGUAAUUCUCUCAACCUGGGGCAUUUCCUUAUCUCCAACUCUGAUAGAUUCUGAUUCUUAUAGAAUAACCAAUCUGGCAGACAUUCCAAUCCCUCCAACUCUUCUAUUUUGAGGGACUUUAAUUUAGAAAAUGAAGAAUUUAUGAACCUCAGCUUCUCCAAUCCUAUCAAAGAAACAGAUCUGAGAUUUGGCAAGUGCUCCAGCUGUGGGAUUUCCUCACAUUCUGAGCACCUCUUGAGUGUUAUCUGAAUCAAGUUUUCAAGUGGUAGCCAAGAGGCUUGAGGCCCAUCCCGUACUGCCAUCUUCUCAAUCCAUUCUGGAAAUCUUUUGCCUUUGAAUCUGAUAAUCUCUAACUUCUUCAGAUUGGCAUUUGCAUGAGGUUGCAGGCCUUCCAACACACUCUCCUCAUCACUUCUUUCACCUCUCUGACAGAACCACAUGAAACAUCAAAUCAAAUAACUUCGGCAUCCCAAAAUAACCCCAUUGAAACCUCAAAUCAAAUAAGUUUGGCUUCUCAAAUAUCUUUGCUUUCUCUGCUUCCCUUCUUUGCCAUGCACCUUUUCCAAACUACUAAUCACUAGUUUUCCUUUGAGAUUCUUCAAACUUCCAAGCUCUUCAAUUCGAUAGCCCUUCUUGUCACCCACUCUAAAAAUAAAAGGUACACAGACAAGUUAAUCUCCCAAUUUCCGCAGGCAAAUCUAUACUGUCGUCGAUAUAAAGAUGCCUUAAGUUAAUCAAGUACUUUAACGUACUUGGCAGAAGAAACGGUCUAUUCCACCUCAACCUUCUCUCGGCUCUCUCGGCUCUUAAUGUUUUGCAAAUGAUGGAAUUCACUAAUCCAGUCUGGCAAAUUCUCAAUUGCUGUAUUUGAAAUAUCAAGAUUUCUCAAAUGUAUCAACUUCCUUACUGAAUUGGGCAACUCUUUAACUCCAUCACUCUUAAGAGUAAGAACAUGCAGACUUUCCAAGUUGGACAACAUGUUACCCGAAAUUUCUUCACCUUCCAAGAACAAUGUACGCAAAUGGUUUGGGGUAGGUUCUGAUCCAUCUUUGUUAUUAGAAUAACCCAAAACAGAAGAUGCCAGAUCAUGCACAAGAUCGUGCAUCACACAACUCUCCACAUUUCCAAUAUCAUCUCUCCCUGCAACUUGCAACAAAGAGUUUUGUAAAAGCAUAUUAAAGAACAUCUCGCCCACAGACUCCAUAUCAUCUCUUCGAUUUGGCUCAAGAAAACCUUCUGCCAUCCAUUGUUCGAUCAGCUUCUGCUUCACAAUCUUACCACCUUUUGGGAAAAUUGAACAGUAUGUGAAACACUUCUUGAGUGAUGGUGAAGACAAAUUAUCAAAGCUCAAUCUCAAAAUUUUCGAGAUGUUAUUCCCAUCAACAUCUGUAAGCCAUUUCUGUUCAACUUCGAGCCACUCUUCUUGAGAUUUACAGCGAAGCACUCCCCCGACCACAUUGGCAGCUAAGGGCAAACCUUUACAUCUUUUUGCAAUCUUUCUUCCAAUCAUCUCCAAGCCUGAUGGAACUUCUCCAUUUUCAUCAAAAGUUUUAACUUUGACAAUGGACCAGCAAUCUUCAUCUGAUAAGCCUUUUAACAUAUGAAUGUCAAAUGGCUUCACAAUUGAAGCAACCUUCUCAUUCCUGGUAGUGAUGAUGAUGCCAUUUCCUUUAGUAGAAGUUACUCCCGACAGAGAAUUUAUAAAGCCUUCCCAUGUCGGAACAUCUUGAUUCCAUAUAUCAUCAAGAACAAGAAGAUAAGUUUUAACUUUCAAAGCUUCUUGAAGCUUUUCAAGAAUAUCUUCUCUGGUCUCAACUCCAUCAGUAGUCUUUCUAGUUUCCAGGAUAUCAUCAUCUCUGCUCUCAACUCCAUCACUAGUGUUUUUAGCCAUCUUGAAAAGUAUUUUCUUGAAAAGAAGCAUUGGAUCAAAAUUUUGAGAAACAUGAACCCAAAGCCGUGAUCCGAAUCGAGUCUUCACCCUUUGAUGAUUGAAGAUUUUCCUGGUCAACGUAGUCUUCCCCAUACCUCCCAUUCCGACAAUUGCAAGGGUGGAGAAUCUCCGUUCCUNUGGGCUCUUAAUGUUUGCAAAUGAUGGAAUUCACUAAUCCAGUCCGGCAAAUUUUUAAUAUAUGUAUUUGAAAUAUCAAGAUUUCUCAAAUGUAUCAACUUCCUAACUGAAUUGGGCAACUCUUCAACUCCAUCACUCUUAAGAGUAAGAACAUGCAGACUUUCCAAGUUGGAGAACAUGUUACCCGGAAUUUCUCCACCUUCCAAGAACAAUGUACGCAAAUGUUUUGCCACUUGUUUUGGCACAGGCUUUGACCCUUGAAGAGUGAUGUAUCUGAUUUGGUUGCAGCCAUCUGCAUUAUUAGAAGAACCCAAAACAGAAGAUGCGAGAUCAUGCACAAGAUCGUGCAUCACACAACUCUCCACAUUUCCAAUAUCAUCUCUCUCUGCAACUUGCAACAAAGAGUUUUGUAGAAGCAUAUUAAAGAACAUGUCUCCCACAGACUCCAUAUCAUCUCUUCGAUUUGGCUGAAGAAAACCUUCUGCCAUCCAUUGUUCAAUCAGCUCCUGCUUCACAAUUCUGUCACCUUUUGGGAAAAUUGAACAGUAUGUGAAGCACUUCUUGAGUGACGGUGAAGACAAAUUAUCAAAGCUCAAUCUCAAAAUUUUCGAGAUGUUAUCUCCAUCAACAUCCGUAAGCCAUCUCUGUUCGACAUCGAGCCACUCUUUUUGAGAUUUACGGCGAAGCACUCCCCCGACAACAUUGGCAGCUAAGGGCAGACCUUUACAUCUUUCAGCAAUCUUUUUUCCAAUCAUCUCCAAUCCUGAUGGUACUUGAUCUCCAUUUUCAACAAAAGUUUUAGCUUUGAUUAUGGACCAGCAAUCUUCAUCUGAUAAGCCUGUUAACAUAUGAAUGUCAAGUGGCUCCACAAUUGAAGCAACCUUUUGACUCCUGGUAGUGAUGAUGAUGCCAUUUCCUUUAGUUGAAGUUAUUCCCGAAAUGGAAUUUAUAAAGCCUUCCCAUUUCGGAACAUCUUCGUUCCAUACAUCAUCAAGUACAAGAAGAUAAGUUUUAGACUUCAAGGCUUCUUGAAGCUUUUGCAGAAGAACUUCCCUACUUUCAACUCUCACACCAGUAUGUGAAGUCAAUGUUGAAAAGAUUUUGUUCAAAAUAAUGAUCGGAUCAAAGUUUGAGAAACAUGAACCCAAAUAUGUGAUCCAAAUCGAGUCUUCAUCUUUUCAUGAUUGAAGACUUUUCUAGUCAACGUAGUUUUCCCCAUACCUCCCAUUCCAACAAGAGCAAUGAUGGAGAAGAUCCGUUCCUCUGAGUGGGUGUGGGUGAGCAUCUCAACUAGUUUAGGCACAUCAUCAUCUCUUCCAAUAAAGAUUGGAUCAAGAGACAAUGAAUCAGUCUCAAAGGAAGCAUUCAGAGCAGCAGCAGCAGGUGCAUUCACAACUAUGCUUUGAAGGUCAAGAUCUGUUGCCCUCUUGUUCAUAGACUCGAAAGUGGCAUUGAUUUGUUUGAUUCUAAGAGCCAUGUUACGCCGAAAUGAGAUAUGAUUUAAGGAUGAGAAGCAUGAUAGUACCUUAUCCUUCGCUUUGGGAUUGGGUGUCUUCAAUUUCUUCACUUUUUUGUGGAGAAGAUGAUAGUUGAGUUCAUCCACAACAUUAUCAGCAUCGAAAGCCACAUCUUCAAGCUCCCUCAACCAGAUCUUGACAGCAUCUUGGGUGAUGGAUUUCUUCUCAGCGUCAUUCAAGUAGGCUUGAAUCAUCACCAAAGUCCUCUGCAGCUGUUGGGCAUCUUCAUCGAGACCUCGAAGUAGAGACCGCUCUUCCUUGAAGACGUUGAUGAGGUUUUGAACAAGAACUUCGAUGGCGGCAGCAGAUACACCUCCUCCAUCCAUGGUUUUGCAGAGAGAGAAUGCUUGUGAACUUUUUUUUGUAUGUGUGUGUGAAGAUGAAUGAUUGUAAAGUUGUGGAUGACCAUUCAAACAUUAUCACUCUUCAAUUAUGUACUCACUGGUCACUAUCUAUGUGGAAAAGGAAAAAGUCUUUAAUGAUCCAUCUCUACCUUGAAAAGGAUGUUUCAUUAUUCAUUUCCUACGAGCAUGUGCAGCGGGGCUCCACCGAGCGGCUCGAGCCUGAGCUCCCCCCGCCUAUUGCCGCGCUUGGGGGCUCAAAAGGGGCAUGAUGGGUAGAGCUUGCGAGCACCGCCCCACUCAGUCAGCUAUAUAUCUCAUUGCAAAUAGUGCAGCUCAGGUUUUACUUUUCUUCUUCAUUUACCAGUAGAAGGCUUAUAUGACCUUGUUUACUUUGUAGAUUAAAAAAGAUUGCUAUCUUGAACUUUUAUUUUUAUAGGUGAAUGAUUUUGUAAUGAAGAUAGAUAGCAGGGAUAUAGAAGUGUCAAAUGCCUUUACCAUGUGGAGAUAUCUUUGGUGUUGAUUGCACUAAUAUAUAUGGUUUUCUGAAUUUGUGAUGCAUUUUGUCUUAGUGGCUGUAACACAGAGAAUUAGGUUUAUUGGCCCACUAACAUCUCUCAAUCUCCCCCUCUCUGUGGGAUAAAUUUUAUUAUUAAGCUCUAAUUAUGUAAGAGAUCAAACUUCUCAUCAUUGUAAUUGAUAAAUUUUUUAAUGGACACAGGAUGUUUUUGGUGCAGUUCCUGGUGACAGACUAUAGAAUUUAUUAUUACCACACCUCAUAUGACACAGUGGAUAGACUAUUGUAUGCAUCAAUUGGUAUUAAUUUUGGUAGAGAUUACCGAAUUUAUUUUCCGUCACAUUACUUUUUUAUUUAUUUUUGUGUCUGCCUAAUUUGCACAUCUUUUUCUGUUGAUUAGACUAGGAAGCAUGCAAGCACGUCUGUUUUUCUAUCCUUGGGUUACUAUUCUCUGAACAUUCUUUUUUUGGGUUUAUUAGAGGUUUGCAAAUCCAUUUUUGGCAUUUCUAAUGUUUGUGCCAUUGCCAUGCUCAAUUGUUUCAAUUCUUUCCAUAUAGCAAGGAAACGAUGCACCAAAAAGGGUUGUUUUUCAGCAGACAAUAGGUACAUUUGGAUCAACCCAUAUUAAUUAUCAGUCGCACACUAAGUUGGUCGUGUGGUUAUUCAGUGGCAUCAAAGUGUUAUAUAUGUGCAUGUUGUAUAGCUCUCCGUUCAUCGCGUGAAAUGGCAGGUAAUUCAGUUAGGAGUUGUGAUAAAUUAAAUUCAUGAAAACUGCUUGCAAUAUUUGAAUGAUGCUAAUGUAGUAGUGGACUAUAGGUCUGGUCAUUCAAGUAGCUAUGAUUUUAUUCACAGAGGAAUGUUAGCAUACACACCAUCAUGUGCACCUCCAUCAACACCUAGACCUAGUGUAUUGGAUUGGAUCAUUAUUUCAAAAUGAAUAUACUCAUGCAUCUCCAGCUCCGGUUCCAGCGGUCGCUGGGUUGCUCCAGUUCCAGCGGUAGCUGGGCUCCAUCCGGCGCUGGAUUGCUGCCUUCCUAAUUUCUAUCAAGUCGAUGAAAAUCCAUGAAAAUUAAUAUAAAAAAAAAGUCACCGAAACUUUGCAUAAAAGAUUGAAAUGAAAUUCAUAUUAAUUUUCUAAAUUUUAUUUUACAUAAUUAAUUUUAAAUUCCACGAAUUAUAGCAAAAUUAAACUUUUAAGAAAAAAACAACCUCAACAAAGAAAGAAAAAUGAAACUUACUUGCUGCAAGGUUUAAUCUGGCGGCCGUCAACCCAGAUGGUGAGAUUGGGAGAGUUGUUGUGCCACUCUGGAUCAAUGUGUAACUCUCCACAAUCUUCGAUAUAUAAAACCUCCAAUGCAUCCCAGCAAGAGGGCAGAUGCCUCAACUUGUUGCAACUAUUUAGAGUUAAGCUCCGUAGGGAUGGAAGGUUCCCCAACCAUUCAGGCAAUUCUUCUACCCCUAAAUUAUGCAAGUUUAACACAUUAAGAGCUGUGAGAUGUUGAAUUGAUUCUGGUAACCACUCCCAAUUUUGCACCCCUCUUAAGGUGAAAUUAGUAAGUGAGUUGCAGCAUCCUUGCAAUAAGGCAUCCACAGGCUCUAUCAUGCCAACACUACUCUCCAUUGACAACUCCUCACUCACAUCUAUCACUAAUUCUCUUGAGCAGCCUAAAGCCCAACUCUUGACACUAGCAAUCGGAACACCAACAAUUUUCAAAUUUGUGAGAUGAGCUGCCUUAGCGAGGCAGCCAAUUACCAUCGGCAGAUUCUUUAGGCUGCUUAAUCCCUUCAAUUCGAGACACUCGAUUGUUGGCGCCCAUGACUCUAGCAUUUGACGUGGCAAAACCAUCAACCCUUGGCACCUUUCAAUCACGAGUUCGCGUAGGAUUCCUUGUGAUUGUCCUUCUCUGCCAUUUGGAUUCCCUAUUGACUUCAGAUUUGGACAAUCAUGUAUAACCAACUUCUCCAGAGAAUUGAGGGUGUCCAGUCCAUCUGGUAAUUCUCUCAACAUGGGGCAUUGCCUUAUCUCCAACUUUGAGAGAUUCAGAUUCUUAUAAAACAACCAAUCUGGCAGACAUUCCAAUCCCUCUAAGCAUUCUAUAUUGAGGGACAUUAAUUUAGAAAAUGAAGAAUUUAUGAACCUCACCUUCUUCAAUGAAUCCAAAGAAAGAAAUUUGAGAUUUGGCAAGUGCUCCAGCUGUGGGAUUUCCUCACAUUCUGGGCAGAAGGAGAGUGUUAUCUGAAUCAAGUUUUCAAGUGGUAGCCAAGAGGCUUGAGGCCCAUCCCGUACUGCCAUCUUCUCAAUCCAUUCUGGAAAUCUUUUGCCUUUGAAUCCAUAAAUCUCUAACUUCUUCAGAUUGGCAUUUGCAUGAGGCUGGAGGCCUUCCAACACACUCUCCUCAUCACUUCUUUCACCUUCUCUGACAGAACCACAUUGAAACAUCAAAUCAAAUAACUUCGGCAUCCCAAAAUAACCCCAUUGAAACCUCAAAUCAAAUAAGUUUGGCUUCUCAAAUAUCUUUGCUUUCUCUGCUUCUUCUUUGUCAUGCACCUUUUCCAAACUACUAAUCACUAGUUUUCCUUUGAGAUUCUUCAAACUUCCAAGCUCUUCAAUUCGAUGGCCCUUCUUGUCACCAACUCUAAAGUGCCUUAGUGUUUGGAGACAAGUUAAUCUCCCAAUCUCCGCUGGCAAAUCUAUACUGUCGUUGAUAUAGAGAUGCCUUAAGUUAAUCAAGUACUUUAACGUACUUGGCAGAAGAAUCGAUCUAUUCCACCUCAACCUUCUCUCGGCUCUCUCGGCUCUUAAUGUUUGCAAAUGAUGGAAUUCACUAAUCCAGUCUGGCAAAUUCUCAAUUUCUGUAUUUGAAAUAUCAAGAUUUCUCAAAUGUAUCAACUUCCUUACUGAAUUGGGCAACUCUUUAACCCCAUCACUCUUAAGAGUAAGAACAUGCAGACUUUCCAAGUUGGAC
RNAcentral lists this long non-coding RNA (8064 nucleotides) under Salvia miltiorrhiza (redroot sage). RNAcentral describes it as "long non-coding RNA (SMIL_LNC006794)". The record is from RNAcentral. Lineage: Eukaryota; Viridiplantae; Streptophyta; Magnoliopsida; Lamiales; Lamiaceae.